GCCGAAGAAGGACGUGGUAAGCUGCGAAAAGCUACGGGAAGCUGCAAGCAAGCAUUGAUCCGUAGAUGUCCGAAUGGGGAAACCCGGCUGUUUUAAUAGACAGUCAUCCUUAACUGAAUACAUAGGUUAAGGAAGGUAUACGUGGGGAACUGAAACAUCUAAGUACCCACAGGAAGAGAAAGAAACAUCGAUUUCCUAAGUAGCGGCGAGCGAACGGGAAAGAGCCCAAACCAACGACUACGGUUGUUGGGGUUGUGGAUAGGAACACAAGCGAUGGAGGUAUCUUAGUCGAAGAGGUCUGGAAAGGCCCACCAUAGACGGUGACAGUCCGGUAGACGAAAAGAGAAGACCCGCGUUCCUACUCCAGAGUACCACGGAGCACGUGAAACUUUGUGGGAAGCUGGGAGGACCAUCUCCCAAGGCUAAAUACUUCCUGGUGACCGAUAGUGAAUAGUACCGUGAGGGAAAGGUGAAAAGAACCCCGGAAGGGGAGUGAAAUAGAACCUGAAACCCUAUGUUUACAAGCAAUGGAAGCACUUUAUACGUGCGACCAUGUACUUUUUGUAGAACGGGCCAACGAGUUACGUUAUGCAGCAAGGUUAAGGUGUUCAGCACUGGAGCCGUAGGGAAACCGAGUCUGAAUAGGGCGAAAGAGUUGUAUGGCGUAGACCCGAAACCGGGUGACCUAUCCAUGAGCAGGUUGAAGCUGAAGUAAAAUUUAGUGGAGGACCGAACCCAUGUCUGUUGAAAAAGGCUGGGAUGACUUGUGGAUAGCGGAGAAAUUCCAAUCGAACCCGGAGAUAGCUGGUUCUCCCCGAAAUAGCUUUAGGGCUAGCCUUGAAUGAUGAGUAACGGAGGUAGAGCACUGACUACCCUAGGGCCUUUCACCGGGUACCGAAGGUUAUCAAACUCCGAAUGCCGUAUACUUUAGUUCAGGAGUCAGACUGUGUAUGAUAAGAUUCAUAGUCGAGAGGGAAACAGCCCAGACCAUCAGCUAAGGUCCCAAGUAUAGAUUAAGUGGGAAAGGAUGUGGGGUUGCACAGACAACUAGGAUGUUGGCUUAGAAGCAGCCAUUCAUUUAAAGAGUGCGUAAUAGCUCACUAGUCGAGUGACCCUGCGCCGAAAAUUACCGGGCUAAAAUCUAUCACCGAAGCUAUGGCAUUAUACUUAUGUAUAAUGGGUAGGGGAGCAUUGUGUACGGGCUGAAGCUACACCGUGAGGAGUGGUGGACUGUACAGAAGAGAGAAUGUUGGCAUGAGUAGCGCAAGGCGGGUGAGAAUCCCGCCGGCCGAAUGUCUAAGGUUUCCUGAGGAAGGAUCGUCCUCUCAGGGUUAGUCGGGUCCUAAGCCGAGGCUGAAAAGCGUAGGCGAUGGAUAACGGGUUAAGAUUCCCGUACCACCGAGAUUUGUUUGAGAGAUGGAGUGACACAGUAGGAUAGGUCAUCACACCGUUGGUUGUGUGUGUCCAAGCAGUUAGGGAGUUAGAGUAGGCAAAUCCGCUUUAACAAUUCUGAGCUGUGAUGGGGAGCGAAAAAUAAGUAGCGAACUGAUUGAUUCCACACUGUCGAGAAAAGCUUCUAUCGAGAAUUAAGGUGCCCGUACCGAAAACCGACACAGGUGGACAGGUAGAGAAUACUAAGGCUAGCGAGAGAACCAUUGUUAAGGAACUCGGCAAAAUGACCCCGUAACUUCGGGAGAAGGGGUGCCGCAUUAGGGUGUAUGCCCGACGCGGCCGCAGAGAACAGGCCCAAGCGACUGUUUAGCAAAAACACAGGUCUCUGCUAAAUCGAAAGAUGACGUAUAGGGGCUGACGCCUGCCCGGUGCUGGAAGGUUAAGAGGACGUGUUAGCGUAAGCGAAGCUCUGAAUUGAAGCCCCAGUAAACGGCGGCCGUAACUAUAACGGUCCUAAGGUAGCGAAAUUCCUUGUCGGGUAAGUUCCGACCCGCACGAAAGGCGUAACGAUUUGGGCGCUGUCUCAACAAUGGACUCGGUGAAAUUGUAGUACCGGUAAAGAUGCCGGUUACCCGCAGCAGGACGGAAAGACCCCGUGGAGCUUUACUGUAGCUUGGCACUGGACUUUGAUAUAUCAUGUACAGAAUAGGUGGGAGACUUGGAAACGUGGACGCCAGUUUGCGUGGAGUCAUCUUUGGGAUACCACUCUUGUUAUAUCAGUGUUCUAACCGUGCGCCGUGAAUCCGGCGUCGGGACAAUGUCAGGUGGGCAGUUUGACUGGGGCGGUCGCCUCCUAAAAAGUAACGGAGGCGCUCAAAGGUUCCCUCAGAAUGGUUGGAAAUCAUUCAAAGAGUGCAAAGGCAGAAGGGAGCUUGACUGCGAGACAUACAGGUCGAGCAGGUACGAAAGUAGGACUUAGUGAUCCGGUGGUUCCGCAUGGAAGGGCCAUCGCUCAACGGAUAAAAGCUACCCCGGGGAUAACAGGCUUAUCUCCCCCAAGAGUCCACAUCGACGGGGAGGUUUGGCACCUCGAUGUCGGCUCGUCUCAUCCUGGGGCUGUAGUAGGUCCCAAGGGUUGGGCUGUUCGCCCAUUAAAGAGGCACGCGAGCUGGGUUCAGAACGUCGUGAGACAGUUCGGUCCCUAUCCGCUGUGGGCGUAGGAAAUUUGAGAGGAUCUGUCCUUAGUACGAGAGGACCGGGAUGGACGUACCGCUGGUGUAUCUGUUGUUCCGCCAGGAGCACUGCAGAGUAGCUAAGUACGGAAAGGAUAAGCGCUGAAGGCAUCUAAGCACGAAGCCCCCCUCAAGAUAAGAUUUCCCAUCACGUUAAGUGAGUAAGACCCCUCGU
Molecule: ribosomal RNA, 2799 nt
Filed under: bioreactor metagenome
Description: bacterial LSU rRNA
Rfam family: Bacterial large subunit ribosomal RNA
Source: RNAcentral